AAAAUCUAAUUCCUAUGCACUUUGUGAUGGCAAGUAGCUAUUGUUUAUUAUUAAAUCUAUCAAGUAUAAUUUUGUAUCUUGUGGUAGUUAUAAACAAGCAAAUGUGGAGCACUUUGCAGCGGUCCUGUAUUGCUGUUUCUUUUCGCAUUAAUAAAUCAUAUAUAAAUUAUGAGUAAAAUAUAUUUAUAUUAUUUUCAUUAGAUUAUGUAUAUA
Molecule: unclassified non-coding RNA, 213 nt
Filed under: Hevea brasiliensis (rubber tree)
Lineage: Eukaryota; Viridiplantae; Streptophyta; Magnoliopsida; Malpighiales; Euphorbiaceae
Source: RNAcentral